GGCAGUCGAGCGAAUGGAUUGAGAGCUUGCUCUCAAGAAGUUAGCGGCGGACGGGUGAGUAACACGUGGGUAACCUGCCCAUAAGACUGGGAUAACUCCGGGAAACCGGGGCUAAUACCGGAUAACAUUUUGAACUGCAUGGUUCGAAAUUGAAAGGCGGCUUCGGCUGUCACUUAUGGAUGGACCCGCGUCGCAUUAGCUAGUUGGUGAGGUAACGGCUCACCAAGGCAACGAUGCGUAGCCGACCUGAGAGGGUGAUCGGCCACACUGGGACUGAGACACGGCCCAGACUCCUACGGGAGGCAGCAGUAGGGAAUCUUCCGCAAUGGACGAAAGUCUGACGGAGCAACGCCGCGUGAGUGAUGAAGGCUUUCGGGUCGUAAAACUCUGUUGUUAGGGAAGAACAAGUGCUAGUUGAAUAAGCUGGCACCUUGACGGUACCUAACCAGAAAGCCACGGCUAACUACGUGCCAGCAGCCGCGGUAAUACGUAGGUGGCAAGCGUUAUCCGGAAUUAUUGGGCGUAAAGCGCGCGCAGGUGGUUUCUUAAGUCUGAUGUGAAAGCCCACGGCUCAACCGUGGAGGGUCAUUGGAAACUGGGAGACUUGAGUGCAGAAGAGGAAAGUGGAAUUCCAUGUGUAGCGGUGAAAUGCGUAGAGAUAUGGAGG
Molecule: ribosomal RNA, 667 nt
Filed under: Bacillus toyonensis
Lineage: Bacteria; Bacillati; Bacillota; Bacilli; Caryophanales; Bacillaceae
Description: bacterial SSU rRNA
Rfam family: Bacterial small subunit ribosomal RNA
Source: RNAcentral